Molecule: ribosomal RNA, 241 nt
Filed under: uncultured bacterium
Lineage: Bacteria
Description: partial 16S ribosomal RNA
Rfam family: Bacterial small subunit ribosomal RNA
Source: RNAcentral
UACGGAGGGUGCAAGCGUUAUCCGGAUUCACUGGGUUUAAAGGGAGCGUAGGUGGGCUGGUAAGUCAGUGGUGAAAUCUCCGGGCUUAACUCGGAAACUGCCGUUGAUACUAUCAGUCUUGAAUAUUGUGGAGGUAAGCGGAAUAUGUCAUGUAGCGGUGAAAUGCUUAGAUAUGACAUAGAACACCGAUAGCGAAGGCAGCUUGCUACACAAUUAUUGACACUGAGGACGAAAGCGUGGG